UACGAAGGGGGCUAGCGUUGCUCGGAAUUACUGGGCGUAAAGCGCACGUAGGCGGCUUCUUAAGUCGGUGGUGAAAUCCUGGAGCUCAACUCCAGAACUGCCUUCGAUACUGGGAGCUCGAGUCCGGGAGAGGUGAGUGGAACUGCGAGUGUAGAGGUGAAAUUCGUAGAUAUUCGCAAGAACACCAGUGGCGAAGGCGGCUCACUGGCCCGGUACUGACGCUGAGGUGCGAAAGCGUGGGAGCAACAGG
This 250-nucleotide ribosomal RNA is filed under the name uncultured bacterium. RNAcentral describes it as "partial 16S ribosomal RNA". It matches the Rfam family "Bacterial small subunit ribosomal RNA", at positions 524 to 776 of the family's 1533-position model. The record is from RNAcentral.